AGAGUGGAUCGGGCGGUUGCCCUGCACGAAUAGAAAUAGAAACAGAUGCUGAUUCAAAAGCAUACCUGAUUUCUAUCAUCAAGUGCAGGGAGGAAAGUCCGAGCAGGACAGGGCACGGCGACGGCUAACAGCCGCCCGGGGCAACCCGAGGGAAAGUGCCGCAGAAAACAAACAGCCGAUGGCCCCGCACCUGUUUUGAGGGCAAAGCUGCUAUGCGAAGAAAGGCAGCAUUCUCACCCUCUGAAAACAAAUGCGGGGUACAGGCAAAGGUGAAAAGGUGCGGUAAGAGCGCACCGCGCCGCUGGCAACAGCGGCGGCACGGCAAACCCCGCCGCCUGCAAGACCAAAUAGGCCGGAGCCUGGCCCGGGCAAUUCCGGCGGGUAGGUUGCUUGUCUGCAGGGAAACCG
This 408-nucleotide RNase P RNA is filed under the name Phycisphaerae bacterium. RNAcentral's name for it is "partial RNase P RNA component class A". It matches the Rfam family "Bacterial RNase P class A", at positions 1 to 298 of the family's 367-position model. From Rfam's summary of the family: Ribonuclease P (RNase P) is a ubiquitous endoribonuclease, found in archaea, bacteria and eukarya as well as chloroplasts and mitochondria. The record is from RNAcentral. Lineage: Bacteria; Pseudomonadati; Planctomycetota; Phycisphaerae.